CCAGACUGGCUCACAUCUUCAUUACUUCACUUUGUAUCACAAUGAGAGCAUCCACUCUGCUCUUCCUCUGGAUUGCGGUCUGCGGACUUGUACAAGCACAGUCCUCCGGGUCAGUUGGUGGUGGCUCAGAGAAAUGCCUCUGUAAAGGGAAACUGCACGAUGCUGUUAGACACAAACGAAUCCAGUCUGGUCCAGUUGUGCACCCCAAGACUGUCUUCUGUAUGAAGAUAGAAAUGAUAGUCACACUGAAGAACAAGAAGCAGAUAUGUCUCCAUCCAAACGGCAGGCAAGGGAGAAAAAUCAUGGAGAUGAUCAUUCAUGGAAACCAAGGACAGACACACAAACAAAGAAGAGCCAAGACUAACAAGAGAAGGCAACAGAGAAAAAAGAAGGGCAACUAUCCUGUCUGAGUGGCUCUGAGAGGAGUUGGACUGGGAAGACUGUGGUCGAUACAGCCUAACACUGCCUGCUAUUUCAUAAGUUCUUUGUGUGGUUACUUGGUGUGUCUGAUAUGUUUCAGGUGUUUUUUGUAAAAAGUGCACAAAGGUCAUUUUGAUCAUUUUGAAUGGUUGUGCAACCAUGGGAGCUUUACUAUCUACGCAUAACCUACCAGUAUGUUAUUUCAUGUUUAAGAUUGCUUUUGUAUGAUCAUUUAAAAGGUACAACACUGUUUUGAGAAGAAGACAUGACUGAUCAAGUUAACUAUGAAUCCUAUUUCUAACAAUGGACCGUGGCAUGUGGCAGUUGGCUGUCCUACUAUGUGUUAACGAUGUAUAACACACGUUUGUACUAAAUAAAGUCAUUUAUCCAGAAACAUUACAUUUAA
Molecule: long non-coding RNA, 826 nt
Organism: Hypomesus transpacificus
Lineage: Eukaryota; Metazoa; Chordata; Actinopteri; Osmeriformes; Osmeridae
Exons: 4
Source: RefSeq, a predicted model, not a curated record